ACGAAGGGUGCAAGCGUUACUCGGAAUUACUGGGCGUAAAGCGUGCGUAGGCGGUUGGUUAAGUCUGCUGUGAAAGCCCUGGGCUCAACCUGGGAACUGCAGUGGAAACUGGCCAGCUAGAGUGUGUCAGAGGAUGGUGGAAUUCCCGGUGUAGCGGUGAAAUGCGUAGAGAUCGGGAGGAACACCAGUGGCGAAGGCGGCCAUCUGGGACAACACUGACGCUGAGGCACGAAAGCGUGGGGAGCAAACAGGAUUAGAUACCCUGGUAGUCCACGCCCUAAACGAUGCGAACUGGACGUUGGGCACACUUAGGUGCUCAGUGUCGAAGCUAACGCGUUAAGUUCGCCGCCUGGGGAGUACGGUCGCAAGACUG
This 373-nucleotide ribosomal RNA is filed under the name uncultured bacterium. Its description in RNAcentral is "bacterial SSU rRNA". It matches the Rfam family "Bacterial small subunit ribosomal RNA", at positions 525 to 896 of the family's 1533-position model. The record is from RNAcentral.